UGAAGAAAUUUGCAAGUUGUUAGAGAUCUUCAAUGAUGCUACAGUGGUACUUUUUGGUUCACUAUAUCCUACAAUUAACACCUAUUUCAAUGAGAUUUGGAAGGUUAAAUGGAUGCUGGGAAAGGAAGCUUCAAAUGCAAACUCUACCAUUAGAUCAAUGGUAAAUGCAAUGAAGAAAAAAAUUCAUGAAGUACUGGAGGCUUUCAUACUUGACAAUUUGUAUCCCAGUAAUACUUGAUCCUCGGUGCAAGUACAAAUUUUUGGAGUUCAACUUGAAGGAUGAGUUAGAAAUGGAAGGACCCAAAUGUUUAGCUAACGUGAAGAGGACUUUCAGAGACAUGUUCAAUGCAUAUUCUUCUGCACAUGGUGACUCAAACAUUGGCAAUGAGCAGCAGACACAACCAUCUCCAACAAAUGAUCCAUGGACG
This 428-nucleotide long non-coding RNA is filed under the name Brachypodium distachyon (stiff brome). RNAcentral's name for it is "long non-coding RNA (BDIS_LNC000862)". Lineage: Eukaryota; Viridiplantae; Streptophyta; Magnoliopsida; Poales; Poaceae. The record is from RNAcentral.